Coturnix japonica (Japanese quail) is the source of this 273-nucleotide non-coding RNA. The record is from RefSeq and is a predicted model, not a curated record. NCBI's taxonomy places the organism in Eukaryota, Metazoa, Chordata, Aves, Galliformes, Phasianidae.
UCAGGCCCUAUCAGCGGGCGACAUCGCGGCCGCAGUACGGCACUACACGGCCGCCAUCGCCCUGGAUGCCAACAACCACGUCCUGUACAGCAACCGCUCGGCUGCCUACGCCAAGCAGGGCGACUACAGCCGGGCAUUGGCUGAUGCCUGUAGGACCAUCGAGCUGCGACCCGACUGGGCCAAGGGUUACUCCCGUAAAGCAGCAGCCCUGGAGUUCCUAAAUCGCUUUGAAGAAGCCAAGGCCACGUAUGAGGAAGGGUUAAAGCACGAGCC